Molecule: long non-coding RNA, 338 nt
Organism: Triplophysa rosa
Lineage: Eukaryota; Metazoa; Chordata; Actinopteri; Cypriniformes; Nemacheilidae
Exons: 3
Source: RefSeq, a predicted model, not a curated record
GAAUCAUCUGUGGUCUAACACAGUUCACCAAUAGAAGUCAUGUGGCUUUUGCAGCACUUGAAGCUGUCUGUUUCCAAACACGAGAGAUUCUGGAUGCAAUGAAUCAGGAUAGUGGGAUUGCUCUCUCUCAGCUCCAGGUUGAUGGAGGAAUGACCUCUAAUCGGUUACUGAUGCAGCUGCAGGCAGACAUACUGUGUAUUCCAGUUGUUAAGCCAUCUAUGCCUGAGACCACUGCUUUGGGCGCUGCCAUGGUGGCAGGAGCAGCUGAGGGGGUCAGGAUUUGGAGCUUAAACCCAAAAGAUGUUACUGAGGUCAUUUCAGAGAAAUUUGAACCUCAA